GGUGUCAGAUGACCAGAUAAUCUCAAUACAAAAUGCCACAGAAAUCCCAAAGGCCCAAUAUAGGUGUUGACAGGAUGUGUUUUCUGCCCAGGACUCUGAAUGUCGAAGUGAAGAAAUUCAAUGACGCUUGGGUAAACAGUAGGAGUAGCUAUCACACUCUUCAUGUAGCCAAACACUUUGUCACCUAAUUAGUGACACACAUGAAUGGAUUAACAAGACUCC
RNAcentral lists this non-coding RNA (222 nucleotides) under Nomascus leucogenys (northern white-cheeked gibbon). RNAcentral's name for it is "Eukaryotic large subunit ribosomal RNA". It matches the Rfam family "Eukaryotic large subunit ribosomal RNA", at positions 2129 to 2336 of the family's 3401-position model. The record is from Rfam by way of RNAcentral. Lineage: Eukaryota; Metazoa; Chordata; Mammalia; Primates; Hylobatidae.